GUCUGGCCUAUGUUCAUUGAGUAGAAUGGAACAGAAUGAAGUAACUUUGUUAACCUUAAUGAUCAAAAAUGGAAAUAAUUCAGGAACUUCUUAAGAUCAUGCAGCUGUAGAGGAGCUGGGUGGAGCAAGAUAGCCAAAUAGAAACCUUCACCUAUCAUCCCCUCUUCAGGAAAACCAAAUUUGACAACUAUCUACACAAAAAACAACUUCCUAAGAAACAAAAUCAGGUGCCGUAGCACUAAAGAUACUAAGCUAAGAGUGAGACUCAGAACAAG
Callithrix jacchus (white-tufted-ear marmoset) is the source of this 275-nucleotide long non-coding RNA. RefSeq lists it as uncharacterized. Lineage: Eukaryota; Metazoa; Chordata; Mammalia; Primates; Cebidae. The record is from RefSeq and is a predicted model, not a curated record.